This 426-nucleotide ribosomal RNA is filed under the name uncultured prokaryote. RNAcentral describes it as "bacterial SSU rRNA". It matches the Rfam family "Bacterial small subunit ribosomal RNA", at positions 355 to 774 of the family's 1533-position model. The record is from RNAcentral.
UCGAGAAUUUUUCACAAUGGGGGAAACCCUGAUGGAGCGACGCCGCGUGGGGGAUGAAUGGCUUCGGCCCGUAAACCCCUGUCAUUCGCGAUCAAAUGUUAUUGUUUAAGAGAUGAUAGCUUGAUAGUAGCGGAAGAGGAAGGGACGGCUAACUCUGUGCCAGCAGCCGCGGUAAUACAGAGGUCCCAAGCGUUGUUCGGAUUCACUGGGCGUAAAGGGUGCGUAGGUGGUGAGGUAAGUCGGAUGUGAAAUCUCGGAGCUUAACUCCGAAACUGCAUUGGAAACUACCUUGCGAGAGGGUUGGAGGGGGGACUGGAAUUCUCGGUGGAGCAGUGAAAUGCGUAGAUAUCGAGAGGAACACCAGUGGCGAAGGCGAGUCCCUGGACAACUCCUGACACUGAGGCACGAAAGCUAUGGGAGCAAACA